AGUGCGGCGUGCUAAUACAUGCAAGUCGAGCGAAUGGAUUAAGAGCUUGCUCUUAUGAAGUUAGCGGCGGACGGGUGAGUAACACGUGGGUAACCUGCCCAUAAGACUGGGAUAACUCCGGGAAACCGGGGCUAAUACCGGAUAACAUUUUGAACCGCAUGGUUCGAAAUUGAAAGGCGGCUUCGGCUGUCACUUAUGGAUGGACCCGCGUCGCAUUAGCUAGUUGGUGAGGUAACGGCUCACCAAGGCAACGAUGCGUAGCCGACCUGAGAGGGUGAUCGGCCACACUGGGACUGAGACACGGCCCAGACUCCUACGGGAGGCAGCAGUAGGGAAUCUUCCGCAAUGGACGAAAGUCUGACGGAGCAACGCCGCGUGAGUGAUGAAGGCUUUCGGGUCGUAAAACUCUGUUGUUAGGGAAGAACAAGUGCUAGUUGAAUAAGCUGGCACCUUGACGGUACCUAACCAGAAAGCCACGGCUAACUACGUGCCAGCAGCCGCGGUAAUACGUAGGUGGCAAGCGUUAUCCGGAAUUAUUGGGCGUAAAGCGCGCGCAGGUGGUUUCUUAAGUCUGAUGUGAAAGCCCACGGCUCAACCGUGGAGGGUCAUUGGAAACUGGGAGACUUGAGUGCAGAAGAGGAAAGUGGAAUUCCAUGUGUAGCGGUGAAAUGCGUAGAGAUAUGGAGGAACACCAGUGGCGAAGGCGACUUUCUGGUCUGUAACUGACACUGAGGCGCGAAAGCGUGGGGAGCAAACAGGAUUAGAUACCUGGGUAGUC
This 778-nucleotide ribosomal RNA is filed under the name Bacillus anthracis (anthrax bacterium). Its description in RNAcentral is "bacterial SSU rRNA". It matches the Rfam family "Bacterial small subunit ribosomal RNA", at positions 38 to 795 of the family's 1533-position model. Lineage: Bacteria; Bacillati; Bacillota; Bacilli; Caryophanales; Bacillaceae. The record is from RNAcentral.